AUUGCUGUAAUGCGGGUGAUAAUUCAGAAAAAUAAAACCGCGCCCUUGGUCAAUCGUGUGAAACAGCGGGUUCCAAUCGAACAUCGACAGUUUGUGGGUGGGCAUGGUGUUGGCGACAAACAUCUUACCGCUCGCGAUCAUAUUGGCGCGCUG
Molecule: non-coding RNA, 153 nt
Filed under: Pseudorhodobacter antarcticus
Lineage: Bacteria; Pseudomonadati; Pseudomonadota; Alphaproteobacteria; Rhodobacterales; Paracoccaceae
Description: Pseudorhodobacter sp. ZS3-33 Ruegeria cis2 sRNA
Rfam family: Ruegeria cis2 sRNA
About the family: Cis-encoded. Targets ABC transporter. Functions in transport.
Source: Rfam by way of RNAcentral